Molecule: ribosomal RNA, 625 nt
Filed under: uncultured bacterium
Lineage: Bacteria
Description: bacterial SSU rRNA
Rfam family: Bacterial small subunit ribosomal RNA
Source: RNAcentral
GUAAAAGGUGGCCUCUUACUUUGUAAAGCUAACNGNUAAAGGAUGAGCCCNCGUUAGAUUAGCUAGUUGGUGGGGUAAAGGCCUACCAAGGGGACGAUCUAUAGCUGGUUUGAGAGGAUGAUCAAGCCACCACUGGGACUGAGACCACGGGCCCGAGACUCCUACGGGAGGCAGCAGUGGGGAAUAUUGCCCAAUGAGGGAAACCUUGAUGCAGCCAUGCCGCGUGUGUGAAGAAGGCCCGAGGGUUGUAAAGCACUUUCAAUUGUGAGGAAAGGUUAGUCGCUAAUAUCGGCUAGCUGUGACGUUAACUUUAGAAGAAGCACCGGCUAACUCUGUGCCAGCAGCCGCGGUAAUACAGAGGGUGCAAGCGUUAUUCGGAAUUACUGGGCGUAAAGCGCGCGUAGGCGGACUGUUAAGUCGGUUGUGAAAGCCCUGGGCUCAACCUAGGAAUUGCAUCCGAUACUGGCAAUCUAGAGUUUAGGAGAGGGAAGUGGAAUUCCGGGUGUACCAGUGAAAUGCGUAGAUAUCAGUAGGAUCAUCAGUGGCAAAGGCGGCUUCCUGGCCUAAAACUCCCGUUGAGGCGCGAAAGUGUGGGUAGCGGCCGGGAUUAGAUUGCCUGGUAGUC